AAGUUCGACGGGCCCCGCACAAGCAGCGGAGCGUGUGGUUUAAUUCGAUGCUACACGAAGAACCUUACCAGGGUUUGACAUACAAGUAGUAGGGAAGGAACUGGACGACCUUCGGGGAGCUUGUACAGGUGCUGCAUGGCUGUCGUCAGCUCGUGUCGUGAGAUGUUGGGUUAAGUCCCGCAACGAGCGCAACCCUUAUCAUUAGUUGCUACGCAAGGGCACUCUAAUGAGACUGCCGGUGACAAACCGGAGGAAGGUGGGGAUGACGUCAAGUCCUCAUGGCCCUUAUGGGUAGGGCUUCACACGUCAUACAAUGGUCGGUACAGAGGGUUGCCAAGCCGCGAGGCGGAGCCAAUCCCACAAAGCCGAUCGUAGUCCGGAUUGUUCUCUGCAACUCGACUGCAUGAAGUCGGAAUCGCUAGUAAUCGCAGGUCAGCAUACUGCGGUGAAUACGUUCCCGGGUCUU
RNAcentral lists this ribosomal RNA (466 nucleotides) under uncultured Thiobacillus sp. Its description in RNAcentral is "bacterial SSU rRNA". It matches the Rfam family "Bacterial small subunit ribosomal RNA", at positions 910 to 1382 of the family's 1533-position model. The record is from RNAcentral. Lineage: Bacteria; Pseudomonadati; Pseudomonadota; Betaproteobacteria; Nitrosomonadales; Thiobacillaceae.